GAUGAACGCUGGCGGCGUGCCUAAUACAUGCAAGUCGAGCGAAUAGAUAAGGAGUUUGCUCCUUUGACGCUAGCGGCGGACGGGUGAGUAACACGUGGGUAACCUACCUACAAUACUGGAAGAACCUCCGGAAACCGGGGCUAAUGUAAGAUAACAUGUUGAACCGCAUGGUUCUACAGUUAACCGCGGCUUGGCUGUCACUUUUAGAUGGAUCCGCGCCGUGCUCGCUAGUUGGGGAGGUAACGGCUCACCAAGGCAACGAUGCGUAGCCGCCCUGAGAAGGGGAUCGGCCACCCUGGGUCUGAGACACGGUCCAGACUCCUAGGAGAGGCACCAGAAGGGGAUUUUCCGCAGUGGUGAAAAACCUGACGCAGCAAACCCGCGUCAGUCAUGACGGACUUCGGAUCGUAAAACACGGUUACUAGGGACAAACAAAUGGAUAAGUAACUGUGAGCGUCUUGACGGUAACUAGUCAGAAAGCCACGCCUAACUACGUU
RNAcentral lists this ribosomal RNA (497 nucleotides) under uncultured bacterium. RNAcentral describes it as "partial 16S ribosomal RNA". It matches the Rfam family "Bacterial small subunit ribosomal RNA", at positions 28 to 507 of the family's 1533-position model. The record is from RNAcentral.